Molecule: long non-coding RNA, 527 nt
Organism: Drosophila biarmipes
Lineage: Eukaryota; Metazoa; Arthropoda; Insecta; Diptera; Drosophilidae
Exons: 3
Source: RefSeq, a predicted model, not a curated record
GGCAGCCACUUUUGAAUUUAUUUUACUCAAAGUUGUACAUAUUCGUACUACGCAUAACUGAUUUUGGGUUGGACUGCACCUGGCUCUAAGUUGUCUCCCGGCACUAUCAUAUCAUCUAUGUGCUCCACAGCAGGGGAAGGUGUCCGCUCCACUAGUUGUCGAGGCUGCUGUUGAGGGGGUUCUUGCGGAAUUCGCGGUUGAAGAUGAAGAGUUUCGUUAUAAUUGCACAGCAUCCGGUACAUAUGAGGCAAAUACAAAGGCCGCAGCAGCAAAUAACCACGCAGCAAUAUCCAAUGCAAAAGAGAAAGCCGAAUACUAUCAACAACAGCACUAAAAAGGCGACCAAAGUUAGCACAGGACCAAUCUGAUAAAAAGGAUCGUAAUGGGAAUAACUAUAGAUUAUGACUGAUAAGUCGGAAUUGACCUGCUUUAAAUAGAGUACUCAAUCAGUAGUUUCUGAUCUUUAAUAUAAGUCAACGAAUCGUAUAAAUUGGUUUGGGUUGGCAAAAAACUUUUAGCCAACUUUU